RNAcentral lists this ribosomal RNA (254 nucleotides) under uncultured bacterium. Its description in RNAcentral is "partial 16S ribosomal RNA". It matches the Rfam family "Bacterial small subunit ribosomal RNA", at positions 524 to 776 of the family's 1533-position model. The record is from RNAcentral.
UACGUAGGGGGCUAGCGUUGUCCGGAUUUAUUGGGCGUAAAGAGCGCGUAGGCGGCCUGUGCAAGUCAGUUGUGAAAUCUCCGGGCUUAACUCGGAACGGUCAACUGAUACUGCUCGGCUAGAGUGCGGAAGGGGCAACUGGAAUUCUUGGUGUAGCGGUGAAAUGCGUAGAUAUCAAGAGGAACACCUGCGGCGAAGGCGGGUUGCUGGGCCGACACUGACGCUGAAGUGCGAAAGCUAGGGGAGCGAACGGG